GCCUUAGUAACGGCGAGUGAAGCGGCAACAGCUCAAAUUUGAAAGCUGGCUCCUUUGGAGUCCGCGUUGUAAUUUGUAGAGGAUGAUUCGGCAAGGGCUCCCGCCUAAGUCUCCUGGAACGGAGCGUCAUAGAGGGUGAGAAUCCCGUAUGCGGUGGGCUGCCUAAGCCAUGUGAAUCUCCUUCGACGAGUCGAGUUGUUUGGGAAUGCAGCUCUAAAUGGGAGGUAAAUUUCUUCUAAAGCUAAAUACCGGCCAGAGACCGAUAGCGCACAAGUAGAGUGAUCGAAAGAUGAAAAGCACUUUGGAAAGAGAGUUAAAAAGUACGUGAAAUUGUUGAAAGGGAAGCGCUUGCAGCCAGACUUGUCCGCAGUUGCUCAGCCGGUCUCCUGACCGGUGUACUCUUCUGCGGCCAGGCCAGCAUCAGUUCGGGCGGUCGGAUAAAGACCUCGGGAAUGUAGCUCCUCUCGGGGAGUGUUAUAGCCCGGGGUGGAAUGCGGCCAGCCUGGACUGAGGAUCUCGCUUCGGCUAGGAUGCUGGCGUAAUGGCUGUAAGCGGCCCGUCUUGAAACACGGACCAAGGAGUCUAACAUCUAUGCGAGUGUUUGGGUGUCAAACCCAUGCGCGUAAUGAAAGUGAACGGAGGUGGGAACCCUCACGGGUGCACCAUCGACCGAUCCUGAUGUCUUCGGAUGGAUUUGAGUAAGAGCAUAGCUGUUGGGACCCGAAAGAUGGUGAACUAUGCCUGAAUAGGGUGAAGCCAGAGGAAACUCUGGUGGAGGCUCGCAGCGGUUCUGACGUGCAAAUCGAUCGUCAAAUUUGGGUAUAGGGGCGAAAGACUAAUCGAACCAUCUAGUAGCUGG
This 859-nucleotide ribosomal RNA is filed under the name Botryosphaeria rosaceae. RNAcentral's name for it is "eukaryotic LSU rRNA". It matches the Rfam family "Eukaryotic large subunit ribosomal RNA", at positions 77 to 954 of the family's 3401-position model. Lineage: Eukaryota; Fungi; Ascomycota; Dothideomycetes; Botryosphaeriales; Botryosphaeriaceae. The record is from RNAcentral.